Molecule: long non-coding RNA, 2333 nt
Filed under: Sus scrofa (pig)
Lineage: Eukaryota; Metazoa; Chordata; Mammalia; Artiodactyla; Suidae
Description: lncRNA (ENSSSCG00025006655.1)
Source: RNAcentral
GGUAGCGAAGGGCUGGAGGCAAACACCGAGCUCCCCCUGAGCCGCCCGGGAGCAGGGAGGGCUCCGCUACCCCGGGGGGCCCUCCCCGCGGGGCAGAUGAGCUCAGUAUCCAGACUUUCUGAGCUGUGUUAUGGGUCACUCAAGCAGUCCACCUUCCUGACUUUCCAUAAUCUACUGGAUUCGUAAUCCACACCAUACUUGAGAACAUGGGGAUCGGCAUAAGCCAGGUCCAUGGCAAAAAGUUGGUUGGUUUCUCAUUCUGGAAGAUGAGGCAUAUGUUAAUUUAGGAAAAGGGAAAUGGAACAGAGCUGAGGAUUAAAUGCUCUUUUAUGGAUAAGGAUGGGCACCUGCCUCUGAGAUGUAAUCCCAGGCAGUAAGAUUGAGAGGAAAAGGAAAGAGAGAUGGAGAAGGAUGGGACACAAUGCAAGAUGAUGUUUGAAUAAUCUGCAGAGACAGUAGGUACGCCUGCAUAUCCAUGCAGGAUAUCUCCGGACAUGCACCAUGGCGAAAACAUGCUCAGAAAAAUGCCAGCUAAUAAAUGUUGAAGAAAUGAAGCUUAAGAAAAAGAGUAUUAUGCAAUCCUCAACAUAAUAAGUGAUUCAAUCACUGACUAUCAAGGGAUGAUAAAACCUACGGGUGAAGGGUUGAUGGGUGUCAUGGUAUCAUGGGUUGAAUUACAUUUCCCAAAAAGAGGUAUGUUGAAAUUCUAUCCCCCGGACCCCUGGAAUGUGAUCUUAUUUGGAAACAGGUUCAUUGUAGAUGUAAUUAGUUAAGAUGAAGUCAUGAUGGAGUGGGAUGGGAUCCUAAUCCAAUAGGACUGGUAUCCUUAUAAGAACAGUCAUGUGAAGACACAGAGACACAUGGAGAAUGCCACGUGAAGAUGGAGGACAAACUGAAAAGUACUGCAGCUACAAGCCAAGUAAUGUCUGGGGCUACCAGAAGCUGGAAGAGGCUAGGAGGGAUUUUCCCUUAAGGUUUCAGAGGGAGCCGACCAACAUGUUGUUUUCACACUUCUAGUCUCCCAAACUGUGAGACACACAUUUUUGUUUUAAGCCAGCCCAUUUGUGGGUACUUUGUUAUAGUGACUCUAGGAAACUAAUCCAAUGGCAAACAGAAUAGACACCCUGCAAAUAUGAAAGAUAGAGUUUUCCAAAGGAGAGCUCUGUCAGUUACCACUUAAGCAGGUAUCAAACUUGAACAUCACUAACAGUGGGACAGCCUGACCUACACACCUCCUGAUAUCAUGCAACAAGAGGUACACAAUAUCAAUUUGAUAGACUGAUAGCAAUGGGCACAUCCCUUGCAACGUGACUUUGCAGCAACUCUCAUUAAGAGGUAGAGUUUAUUUCUCUACCACUUGAGUCUGGGCUUGCUUUGUUACCUUCUUUCACCACCAUAAUGCAGUUGAAGUGAGGAGUGCCAGUUCUAAGCUUAGGCCUCAAAAGACCUUGCAUGCUUUCACUCUCUUUCAGACCCCUGCCUCUUCCAUGAGAACAGGCCAGUGCUAGGCUGCAAAGUGUGACAGAUGAAUGGGGCUGGACCUAGUCAUCCCAACUAAAGUUUUCUAUCAACUGCAUGCAAAUUCAUGAAUGAGUCUAACCAAAGUCAGCUGAGCCUAGCCCAGCCCAGAUCAGCAGAACUUAGCUAGUCAAUGGUUAUUAAUAUUAAGCCACUGAGUUUUGGGGUAGACUGCUCUGCGGUAAUAACUGUUACAAUGAUGAUCCAUGCAAUAUCCUUGCCAAAUGUGUUUAAAUGGAAACUAAUCAUGAGGAAAGAGUCAGAAAAUUCUAGAGUGUGGAACAUUCUACAUUACAACUGACCUAGAUACCAUAAGUCAGAAUCAUGAAAAACAACAAAAAGUGAGGAGCCUGUUCUAGAUAGACUAGAGCAAGGGUUUCCAAUCUCAGCACCAACUGACAUUUAUUUCCAAUCUCAGCACUGACAUUUUGGACCAGAUAAUUCUCUGUUGCAGGGGUUGCCUUGUGUAUUUUAGGAUGUUUAGCAGCAUCCCUGGCCUCUAUCUACCUGAUGCCAGUCGUGACAAUCAAGAGUAUCUCCAGGAGUUCCCGUCGUGGUGCAGUGGUUAACGAAUCCGACUAGGAACCAUGAGGUUGCGGGUUCGGUCCCUGCCCUUGCUCAGUGGGUUAAUGAUCUGGCGUUGCCGUGAGCUGUGGUGUAGGUUGCAGACGCGGCUCGGAUCCCACGUUGCUGUGGCUCUGGCGUAGGCCGGUGGCUACAGCUCCGAUUGGACCCCUAGCCUGGGAACCUCCAUAUGCCGCAGGAGCGGCCCAAGAAAUAGCAAAAAGACAAAAAAAAAAAAAAAAAAAAAAAAA